This 253-nucleotide ribosomal RNA is filed under the name uncultured bacterium. RNAcentral describes it as "partial 16S ribosomal RNA". It matches the Rfam family "Bacterial small subunit ribosomal RNA", at positions 524 to 776 of the family's 1533-position model. The record is from RNAcentral.
UACGUAGGGGGCUAGCGUUGUCCGGAUUUAUUGGGCGUAAAGAGCGUGUAGGCGGCCAGGUAGGUCUGCUGUGAAAACUCGAGGCUCAACCUCGAGACGUCGGCGGAAACCAUCUGGCUAGAGUCCGGAAGAGGAGAGUGGAAUUCCUGGUGUAGCGGUGAAAUGCGCAGAUAUCAGGAAGAACACCCGUGGCGAAGGCGGCUCUCUGGGACGGUACUGACGCUGAGACGCGAAAGCGUGGGGAGCGAAUGGG